AAAUGUCUUCCAAAGCUGCAGACAAAAGUUCCAGAAAAAUAAAAACCUGAAUCCCCUGAAAUUCAAAAGAAAACCUGAUUAUACACCCAUAUGCAAAACCCGAUGGCACAAAAAAAACAAAAAAUGAGAAGAGAAACAAUUUCAAUAGAAAAUCCAUUUACAAAUCCAUUUCUCAAGAACCACAACACAACCUAACUAAAAAACUCACGGAUUAAAAGUUUCUCCCCAAAAAUCCCAUCUCUGUCAUCAAAUGAAAACUAUGAAAGCAACAACCCAUUUAAAAUUGAACCCAAAAAAAUUAAAAGCUUCUAACAUCUAAAAUUGAACAGAACACAAUCCAUACAGUUGCAUAAAAAAGUUGGAGAUGCAAGAUUAGAAGAACUCAACACAAAACUAUCCACUUUGAGACCAGCAGAGGCGAAGAGAGGAGAGAGCAAACGGCUACGGAAGAAGAGAAGCAAAAGAAAUAGGAAAAAAAUUGGACCAAAAGCAGUGAAAAGGAAUCACUGCAGAAAGCAGGAAAGAAA
RNAcentral lists this long non-coding RNA (527 nucleotides) under Malus domestica (apple). Its description in RNAcentral is "long non-coding RNA (MDOM_LNC014352)". The record is from RNAcentral. Lineage: Eukaryota; Viridiplantae; Streptophyta; Magnoliopsida; Rosales; Rosaceae.